RNAcentral lists this long non-coding RNA (704 nucleotides) under Betta splendens (Siamese fighting fish). RNAcentral's name for it is "lncRNA (ENSBSLG00000010814.1)". The record is from RNAcentral. Lineage: Eukaryota; Metazoa; Chordata; Actinopteri; Anabantiformes; Osphronemidae.
UUCCUCCUUCCUCCCUCGGCCUCCAGCCUCCCCACUUCCUCACUCGCUUCCUCAGUUCGACGCAGUCAAGUGAGUUGCUUCUUUGAACUUCUUUUGUGUUUCAUGUUUACUAGUUUAAACUGGUUCUAUUUGCAUUACAGUUUAAGAAGAUGGAACCUGUUCUUGAUGGGACAACAGCAGGUGUCAGAAAUCAGCUUGUGUCUGGAUCAUCUGUGGGUUGGAGGAAAACCCUGACAGCUCGUCUCACCUGCAGCGGGUCGGAUCCAGUUAACGCUGGUCCGUCUCAGACUGUAACUCCCUGAGCUCGUAAAUCGCUGCUAAGGUGAAGUUCACAGAUGAGCAGCUAACAGCUAACAGCUAACAGCUAACAGCUAACGCUCACACACACGAGGUCUGACUCAAAGAGAAACAAACAGUUCUGUCAGAACAGAACCAGUCAGCAGCAGGGACCCGCUGCCCAAUCUGCAUGAGGAGCCUGAUCUGAAGCCCGAUCAGUCGACGAUCGCAGCAACUGGAAUCGCCUGAAAAAACCCGUGUGGAUGGUGUCAGCUGAUCCACGAAGGUAAAGCCUGGAGGAAAAAGUGGUUUAAGGUAAAACCCUUAGCUCUCACGUGGUCCCAUGAUGAUCAGACGGAAGCUGACGGGAAAGGACUGUGCUUUCCUCAAGUUGCUGCUAAUAAAUAAAGAUAAAUGAAAUGAAGACA